This 3300-nucleotide small RNA is filed under the name Limulus polyphemus (Atlantic horseshoe crab). RNAcentral describes it as "calcium-independent protein kinase C-like". Lineage: Eukaryota; Metazoa; Arthropoda; Merostomata; Xiphosura; Limulidae. The record is from RNAcentral.
UAGGUGGACUUAGAGCCAGAAGGAAAAAUCCAUGUCAUUGUUGAGCUACAAUCUCAAGAAAAUGCCGCACAAAAACCACGUGAGUUUAAAGAAAGGCCUGGACUUAACCGUCGACGGGGUGCAAUGCGAAGACGUGUGCAUCAAGUUAAUGGACAUAAGUUUAUGGCCACAAUUCUUCGACAGCCAACAUUUUGUUCUCAUUGUAGGGAGUUUAUAUGGGGCUUAGGAAAACAAGGAUAUCAAUGUCAAGUCUGCACAUGUGUAGUCCACAAAAGAUGCCAUGAGUUUGUUGUGACUAAGUGUACAGGAAUGAAAGAUACCACCAAUGAUGAGAUUGGUGGUAGUCGUUUCAACAUCAACAUCCCACAUCGAUUUAUGGUACAUAACUACAAGAGGCCCACAUUUUGUGACCAUUGUGGGUCGAUGCUAUAUGGUCUCAUUAGACAAGGGCUUCAAUGUGAAGCUUGUAAAAUGAAUGUGCACAAGAGGUGCCAAAGGAAUGUAGCCAAUAACUGUGGAGUUAAUCCAAAACAGAUGGCUGAAAUACUGAAUGCCAUGGGAUUUUCUGGUGACAAGUUAACAAAGAGGAAAAAGAAGACCUCAAUUACUGAAUCUUGCAACAAACUAUUGCAUCCAAUCACAGAAAGAUCUUUGACUACACCUUUGCCGGGAACAUGUGAAGAACAAGAACUUUCUGGUAAUGCCACCCGUCUCGAGGUUCAAGCUGCUGCUGAGGAAUUUAAAAGGUUGUGUCUUCAGUUACCACAGGGAGGGAUUCUUCCUGUCGAUAGGUCUCCCAUAGGUGGAUCUAGCUCUAGUGAUGUAAUAUUUGAACAAUCGUACAGAACGGAAGAAUGGGACUCAAAGAAGUUUGGAUUGAGCGAAUUUACUUUCAUUAAGGUUCUAGGAAAAGGCAGUUUUGGAAAGGUUAUGUUAGGGGAGCGUAAAGGAACUGAUGAAGUGUAUGCUAUCAAAGUUUUAAGAAAAGAUGUUAUUCUUCAAGAUGAUGAUGUGGACUGUACAAUGACUGAGAAGCGGAUCCUUACUUUAGCAGCCAAACAUCCUUUUCUCACAGCUCUCUACUGCUCUUUCCAAACAGAGGAUCGUCUGUUUUUUGUCAUGGAGUAUGUAAAUGGAGGUGAUCUCAUGUUUCAAAUUCAGAAAGCCAGGAAAUUUGAUGAAGCUCGGGCAAGAUUCUAUGCAGCAGAAGUUACUCUUGCCUUAAUGUUCUUACAUCGACAUGGAGUGAUAUACAGGGAUCUCAAGUUGGACAACAUCUUGUUAGAUAGUGAAGGACACUGCAAGAUUGCAGACUUUGGAAUGUGUAAAGAAGGAAUCGCUGGUGGUGCUACAACGACAACAUUCUGUGGUACUCCCGAUUACAUUGCACCUGAGAUCCUGCAAGAGUUAGAAUAUGGUCCUUCUGUCGACUGGUGGGCUCUGGGUGUACUGAUGUACGAGAUGAUGGCAGGACAGCCACCAUUUGAAGCUGAUAAUGAAGAUGACCUCUUUGAGUCUAUCUUACAUGAAGAUGUUGUAUAUCCUGUUUGGUUGAGCAAGGAAGCCGUUUCUGUUCUCAAAGGGUUCAUGACCAAGAAUCCUGCUAAACGAUUAGGGUGUGUACCUUCUCAGGGUCUGGAGCAGGCAAUAUUAAACCAUAUAUUUUUCAAGGAAAUUGAUUGGGAUGCUUUGGAAAGCCGAAAAGUUAAACCACCUUUUAGACCGAAAAUUAAAACCAAACGAGACGUGAACAACUUUGAUCAGGACUUCACCAAAGAAGAUCCGGUGUUGACCCAAGUAAAUCCUGAUGUAAUCCGCACUAUCAACCAGGAAGAAUUCCGAGGGUUCUCUGUAGUGAAUGAAGAUUACUGUCCAAACAGAAAUAUGGUAGAGGGUCCUGCUACAUAGCAGUGGAGGCAUUAGGUCAGCUGGUCAUCAUCCAGACAAAAAUUGAGAACCUGCCUCAUUAUGCAUUUCCAUUUAAUCUUCUGUCCCUGUGGCAAGAAAAAAUAUUGGUGUAACUUCUUAGUCAUCCAUACAGUUCUCAGAAACCGUACAAUCUUCCGGAAAUUCCAAAAUGUUGUGUCACAAGUCCUCUGUAUGUGUUACCCUUCCUACUUAAAAGAUGCCGUUAUUCAUUUAAGGCCCUUCUUUUUUGAUUACUUCUUAAGUAUUAUCAUAAAUCAUGUGGAGUUGAAACUAAAUACGAAAAGUGGAAGAAUAAUCAUUGGGAUUCAUUAAUUGGCAUGUACUUCGUGGGAUAUUUUUGUUGUAAAUGAAACUUAAGUUAUUUUUUUGUUAUUAUUCACUGAGUAAGAAAUCCAGUUUGUUUUAAUAAGAAGAAUCUCACACAUUUUAAGAGACAUGGAAGAGUGAAUAAGAACAAGCCAUCUUCAUAUAUAUAUAGUUUUAAGUGAAAGGCCGUGCUCUGGAAAGUGACUUAUUCAAUUAUAUAGCAAAUUUUGUAAAAUGUGCUUGUUAACACAAUAUAAAAUAAAUCACAUAUGUUGGUUAUUAGCUCUGUAAUGUUAAGUUUUUUAUAAUUUUUAAAUUAUUUGACCUUAGAAAACGUAGCCAAAUAAAUCGUGUAUAUGAUUGUUGUCGUUAGAUUAUGCUGGUUACAGCAUUGGGAAGUGAUGUCAUCUUCCCAGCUUUUGUUUUUUAGUGUAUGUCUUAAUAAGUGUAAGUUUGUUGGAGUACUAAUAGAGCUGGAAGCAACAAAGAUUUGAACAUGGAAAGUGUUAUAAUUUAACAGUACUAGUCAGCUCAGAACAUAAUCAUUUUAUUUAUUUCUAACAUUAUCAUCUUUACCAAUAUGAAAUUUCAAUGGACUGUCACAUUUAGAAUGCCACAACUAUGCUGUCUAGUCAGAAGUUUUCUUUAAAGAAUUAUUCAGAACUCUGCAACUCUAAAAGUUAGCUAAGUGUCACUGCUGCUGUUAUGCACAUAAUUCUUGUGUUAGUAUUUAAAAAUGAGACAAAAGUCUGUUUAAAAAUGUGCAUUUCAGUGUUACUGCAAUAAAGCAUUGAUUCUUAUCUUGAGUCAGAUGAAAAACCAGCAUUUAGAAGCAGCAAGUCUUGGUAAACAGUCUUGUGGAUGUGUGCAGUUUCUCUCAUUUUCACUGUAACUUAAUACGUUCAUAUGUAGCUAUUCAUAUUAGGUCUUAAUUAUAUUUUUAAUUUGUUUCCUGUUAAACAAUUUGUUACUGUGACAAAAUAGUUGUUUCAAAAGUAGAUACAUGGACUGUGCUCAGAGUCAUAGCUUUCUGAAAAAAUCAACAAUAAAUUGUGAUUUUCUUCA